RNAcentral lists this ribosomal RNA (467 nucleotides) under uncultured bacterium. RNAcentral describes it as "partial 16S ribosomal RNA". It matches the Rfam family "Bacterial small subunit ribosomal RNA", at positions 28 to 507 of the family's 1533-position model. The record is from RNAcentral.
GACGAACGCUGGCGGCGUGCUUAACACAUGCAAGUCGAACGAUUAAAGCAUCCUCGGGUGUGUAUCAAGUGGCGAACGGCUGAGUAACACGUGGGCAACCUGCCCCUCACAUUGGGAUAGCCACGGGAAACCGUGGAUAAUACCGAAUACUUCGGGACUUCCGCAUGGUAGUUUCGAGAAAGUUUCGGCGGAGAGGGAGGGGCCCGCGGCUUGUCAGCUUGUUGGUGGGGUAGUGGCCUACCACGGCAAGGAUGGGUAGCUGGGUUGAGAGGUAGACCGGCCAGAUGGGGACUGAGACAGGGCCCGUCCCCUAAGGGGGGGCAGCGUGGGGAAUAUUGGCACAUGGGGCGAAGGCCGAUGGCAGCAAGGCCGGGGGCGGAUGGAGGGCUUUGGGGUGUUAAACCGUUUUGAGCGGGGACGAGCCUAUUGUGACGGUACCUGCAGAAGAAGCCCCGGCUAACUACGUG